This 267-nucleotide long non-coding RNA is filed under the name Mustela putorius furo (domestic ferret). RNAcentral's name for it is "lncRNA (ENSMPUG00000031164.1)". Lineage: Eukaryota; Metazoa; Chordata; Mammalia; Carnivora; Mustelidae. The record is from RNAcentral.
AGUGUCACAUUUCUGAGCAGCUGUGUGGGUACAAGCGGUGGGGGACUGACAGUAUAAAGGAGAAACCUGCCUUGCCCCUGUCCUGGUGGCCAUAACUGGAGAGCAACACCAGCUUCCCUGGAGAAGGCCUAGCAUUUUUACUCUAUAUGCCGAGGUAUUUCUUCCAGUCGGAUUUAGCACAGAGGAUUUUAAGCAGGUAAGCAACCUGACCAGUGGGGCUUUAGAAACACCUGCUCUGUGGAGGGUGGGUCAGCAGGGGUGACAGUG